AUGCCUGAUAUUCUUAAAUCUGACUUGGUGAAGUCAGUGAGAGGAUUAAGAUUAACUGGUCAAGUCUCAUCUCAUCUCUUAAUUCAACUAAUUAAAUUCUUUAAAAUUAUUAGGUCCCUAAAAUGGAAUAGUUAUGGUGAUAACUAGAUCAUAACCUCCCAUUAAGUUGGGUGAUAAUGAGUCCAAUGGUUUAGAUAAUCAUUGGAGGCAUCACACGCCUGGUGCUCAUCUAGCUGUCAGAAUUAUCAUUCAUAAUAUGUUAUUUUCGUUGUGUCUUUCUGAUGAUGGUCA
RNAcentral lists this long non-coding RNA (291 nucleotides) under Elaeis guineensis (African oil palm). Its description in RNAcentral is "long non-coding RNA (EGUI_LNC043382)". Lineage: Eukaryota; Viridiplantae; Streptophyta; Magnoliopsida; Arecales; Arecaceae. The record is from RNAcentral.